Falco peregrinus (peregrine falcon) is the source of this 14274-nucleotide long non-coding RNA. RefSeq lists it as uncharacterized. The record is from RefSeq and is a predicted model, not a curated record. The transcript has 3 exons. NCBI's taxonomy places the organism in Eukaryota, Metazoa, Chordata, Aves, Falconiformes, Falconidae.
CAGAGUUACAUAAACUGCCCCACCGACAGACUAACAGGCUGCUACCUCCAAAAAAAAUGCAGAAGCAAUGAAGUUUUUCCAACUGGCUCCAAGGUUUAUAGAACUCUACCAUCUAUGUGAACAAAUUAAUCUCUGGAGCUUCCAAGAUGCAAAGAAAUAUUUGACAGCUGGGAACCAAAGAGAUUAAGGAAGAGAUUUUGCUUCCUAAAACUAGAGCCUUCUGCUAAUCCUCCAGGCAUGCCUCGCAAGCUCUGCUGCUUCCACGGUCCAACUCUUCCUGCUUUGCAGCAGCUCUAUCAACAGUAAUAAUGAAAACAAAUGCGUUCUUCCCUCUACUCAGUGGCCCGUCAGCAGAAGCCAGUGAGAUCUCCCGGGAAGCCAGCUGGCAGGACAGCUGCAGGUUCUGCUACCUUAGUUAGAGAGAUCAGGCACCCAGUUGUGGGACAGGGCAUCGACCUGCCCUUUCCAGCCCUGAAGGCGUCCUCAUCCUCCUUGGCUACUGGGCUUAUCCCUGCACAACACAAACCAGCUGAUGGACCUGGGAACUGCCGUGUUCCUGACUCUCUUUUGUCCUGUGAAGAUACAAAGGAGUUAACCUUUGCAGGAGGCAAAGAUUAUUGCUUCUAGGUUGCUCUGUCAGUGAAGCAAUGCAGCAUUUAUAGUUCCUGGCUGUAGUUAGACCUCUGAAAGAUACAGCUGCUACUCAAAGAUCACAGGUAGCGCUCAUCCAUCACCUGGAGACACAGUAAAGGGAGACAGGCCAAUCUGUAGUAAGCAAGUUUAUUUCAUCUCUCCUGACAUCUAUAGAUUAGGCAGCUGCCAAGAAGAUACAAUAAGGUGCUUCACCAGGAGUUACUUUCUGAACUCAUCAGGAGUGGCUGAGGAGAUGAGCACACACUGAGAAGCUGUUGCUGGUCCCUGUCCCAGUGGUCGCAUCCUCACUGACGGAGGAGAAACGCUGAACCUUUACCAUGUGUCAGACCUGGGUUAAUACACCCGGAUUUCUGGCUCAGUAGCAAUAAACAGAGCACAUGGGACAAAACUCUGUUUUCAGUAACGUGGAGAGCAUGGAGGGUUGUCUGAAACACCAACUAUUGCCUCUGUCAAUAAAAAAAAACCAACUGAUUUUUGCUCUGACCUACUACAGCGAGUAGAUCCUGGGAAGAGCAAUGUACCACCGAGUUUUGAUAGUAUUUGGCUAUUGGAAAGGAGCAGAUUAUGAGGAGUAUUUAAAAACCUCUGUUGGUGGGAGCUCUCAGGCCGCCCUGGCAGACCCACAAAAACCAGGUCACCCACCUGCUCCCACCUUUGGGUGAGCAGCCUUCCUAGUUUGGGGGAAGAAGUUCAGGGGUUUCCCUCAACAAUAGUAUUUCCGUGGCCUCGAAGUGCUGAUUAGGCUGUGCUGUCCACGUAGGGCACAGAAGGGAAGGAGAUGGGAAAACCCCACAACCUGCUCCUCCAGAGGCACCGUGUAAAAUAUCCCCCUGGGAUUUCCCCCCACUAGGGAGCUGACCCGCUCUGCUUAGCCUGGCCCUGAGGAUCUCCUAAGCCUCCUUUUGCAUUUGAACCAUAUCAAGAGGCCAGGAAAAGAUUUGGACAUGGUGGUCAUCUUAAGGUGCAAUUUCUCCUGGGAUGCCUUGACAGAACAUCUCAGGAAAGAUGGAAAAGAGAGCGCAUCGCCAGGCAGCAUCCCAGUGGCUCACAGACAGAAUGCUAUCCACUGCUCGAGGGGGCACAAAUCCAUUUCUUCCGUUUUUUUAUUAUUUUUUUUAUCUGGCCCUGAGGGAAGAAAGGAGAAAAAAAGGACAGUUUCCCACGUGUCUCCAUCACUCCAGCAAACCAGUCUGUCUAGGUCCACGGUGACUUCACUCACGAUUUCAGGCUCAGAGCCAGAUGUUUCUAUCCAGACCAUCCAUAAGUUUUGGACGGGAAGCCACAGUGGACAAGGCAGUUUGUAGCUGUUGAAGGCUUCAUCAUAAGGUGUCAGUGUUAAGCCUUCUGCUACCUCAUCCCCUGCCAGAAAAAUAAUUUCCUUGGUGCCUGAUUACCGGAUUGGCAAAACCGCAGGGGCAGUUCAGGGACGGCAGCAGCCCGUGCAGGCCAGCGCCUUUACAGAGCCUUUCCAUCCUGCACUGAGCUGAGCUCCAUCAAAAUUAAUUGGGUCUGAGGGGUCAAGUUUUGUAAACACGUUUAGGUACAGUUAGAUAUCCAGUUCCAGGAGCUGCCUGUGAAAAACUCACCUAAGGCUUCUCUGAAUCCUUAGGUACUGAAAUACUUUUAAAUACUCAUUCCAAAAUCCUGAAUCCUGCAGUCAGACAGAACACUUGAGCUGUCAUUUGCAAAUCCUGUUUUUCCCUAAUAAUGGGAUUACUGGAGGAGUUUGGCAGUAGCUUUGGGAAGAGUCGGUCUUUCCUAUCUGUACUUUCAUCUUUUAAAUUGGGAGCGGGAUCUACAGAAAAAUCCAUCUUAUUGAAACAAACAAAGCCGAUUUGUGAGAAGAAACUGAAUCAAUUUCCAUUACCACCCUGUACACAAACCGAACAUGACAAAGGGAUUCACACAGCUCAGUCACAUUCAAGUGACAUUGAGUAGUUUGCUGCUCUGUGGCUUGCAUGCCAUUUCAAAGGCUGUAUUUGCUCCCCUAUGGUUUAAUAGCAAUUUUAGGUAACCUUGUUCCUUGUGUGGUGGCUUUACAUCUAAAAUGUUUGCAAUGCCUGCUGGCAGCAUCACCUGAGAGAUGGCUGGAAACGUUGCUUAAUUCUGGUAGGACACAUGGUGGCAUUGAGCAGCAGCAGAGGUCACCAGGAAAAAGGAAUUGGAGCGAGGUUUUCAGGGUUUUGCAGGAGAUGCGGCCAGGCUGCCUUUCUUGAGGGCUGCUGGAGGAUUAGGCUGAUGUUACAGAUACAGGGAUCAGCUCCCUGAGGAGCUGCUCAGGAACGUAGGAUGUCCUUUGCCAGACAGAGGCGGAGCUGUCUGGGAAUGAGAGAGGAAUUAACACCAGGAAAGCUGUGAGGGUUUCCCCAGGUCGAAAGACAGGUUCCCAAGGAAACUCCAGCACGUGCCCGUGUGACAAAUCUGCUGGGACAUACGUGGCAUCCGCGGUCUGAUGUCUUCACUGCAAGCCUGGAACACACGGGCAGCAAUUGCUCGCGCUGCCCCGGCACAGCAGGAGCGGAGAUUAGCGGGCAUUUCCCAAAGCUGUUUUUCUGGCAAGCCCGAUUCCCCAGCCCCUUCUGCGAGAAAGCUUCACAGAUUAAGGAGGCAGUGUGCCUCCCUCAUCGGUGCCAGAAGGAUUCACGUGAGGCAGAAACAAGCAAACUGCCUUGCCAAAGAGGGAGGAGAAAGCAUGGAAAUUAUUUUCAAUCUGUGUCUUUGCAAGUGCAGGGAAAGGCUCCCACUGCUCCGCAUCCGUGGAGUUGCUCACUGCCAGACUCAGGCCAGCUUCUGAAACUCUGCUGGUUAGCAUGCUGAGCUAAAAAACAUGUUAAGCAUCUUGUAGAACUCUUCUCUGAAAGAAAAAGAAAUGUUUUGCUUUCUCCUGUCAAAUUGUAACCCUGUCUUGAGAGAGAAAUGAAUGUGUUUUGGCACACGAAGAGGUCAGGCUGCGUUUUGGUGGCACUGUUCACACUUUGUCCCUGAAACAGACUGAGCAUUUGGAAGAGCAACACAAUUUAUUACUGAACGCGAGGAUGUGAAGAACAUUUGGGUUUAACCUCUCCACCAACAGACGUUUUAAAAUACUCCUGGCAAGCUGUUCCUUUCCGAUAGCCAAAUACUGUCAGAAUUCGGUGGUAUACUACAGGACCUACUCGCUGUAGUAGGUCAGAGCAAAGAUCAGGUCAAGUGGUCCCUGGACAAGGGGCAAUAGCUGGUGUUUCAGAUAACCUUCCAUGCUAAAAACAGAGGAUUUUGUCCUUACAUGGAUGCAGGGGUGGCUGGAGCCUGGUGGGAGCCCUGCUCAGCAUCCUGCCCUGCUCAGCGUGGGAGCACUCACACCGUGUCCCACGAAGGUGAUACAGGCACCACCAUGCCUUUGGCUUUGCUCAGUUGAGCUGGUGCCUGAAAGAAAAAUAAAUGGAGUGAUAGGAGAAAGAGUGCAGAAGUCUUCUGCUCUCUUUUCCCUCGUUUAUUAUCACCUCCCUUUAACACCCCCAAGCUGUCCUCAGGAAACCUGUCCUGUCCUCCACCACCCUGCACAGCUUGGCGAGCAAACAGGGCACCAGUUCAAACUCCAAAAGUAGCUGAAAGCCAGCAACACGUGGGCUUGCUAAUUAUUUAGAGCUUAAAUAAAAGUUUGGCCUCUUCAGGCAGCGCUGAGGGCAAGGUGGAUGCCUGCUCACCCUCUCCUCCUCCUCUGAGGUUUUUAGGUGCAGACCAUGGCAUGUAUUUCUAGUGUUGCUGGGCUAUAAAAAGAAGGGUGUGCAUCACCCCAUGGCUCCCUAGGGGUCAAGGGAUCAGAUUGGACAUGGCGCCCAAGACAGGCUUAUGCAGCCAGACAUCACCGCUGCUUCACCACCGCCAGGACCCCACAGCACCGAAGAGGGUGAAAUACCUGCUGUUUGCAGGUGGGUAGGAGGCAUCUCCAGGCUGCUUCAGCAUGUGAGUGGCAACAAUCCAAUACUCUCCGUGAGCCAGGCAAUGUUGCCGGUUUCUGCCAUCGUCGUGCCUUUAGGACCUCACCCAAGCCUGCUUCAGAGGCAGAGGGACUAGAGGUCACUGGGCAUUUCUGUGUCCAGUAUGGUCUCUGGGGGCAGGGACCCCAAAGCACAGGUAGCUCAGGGAGUGCAUUACAUGAGCUGUGUCUCUAUUAAAUGCAGUUUCGUGUGUUUUGGGACCACCUAGGGCUCUGUUACGCAUCCCACUGCUAUCCUGGCCUGGAUCUUCAAAGCCCUCUUCCAGAAGGCACAAUAAAUUUCAGCUAAAGGUGUGGAAACAAGCCUCUUGCACCAUAUUUCUUUGAGGUAUUUCAGAGAUACUCGAAAAUGGAGCUGGGAUUUAAUCUGAAAAAGGUAAAAGUAUGAAUGUACAGGUCACCCUUGUAGAGCUCAGCAGGUGGGACUUCAGCACGUUACUUUCCCUGUAGCAAGCUGAGUUGUCUUUUAUCCUUCUCCUCUGCAGAGGAGAUGCUGCCCCCCCCCCCCCUCCUUCCAGCCUAUCCUUCUCAGUAAUGCACUGUAACCCAUGACCCCUCGGAUAAAAGAUGAGAAUACUAAUUGCUUGGAAACACUCCACGGAAAGUGGACGCUAAGUGGACUAAUGCUGAACAGCAAUGGAAAUUACAACGUGGACAUCAUCAGAAUCCAUCACAACUAAUGAGAUUAGAGUGGCUACCACAAGAAUUCGUAAUGAUCUACUCUGGGCCCCAAAACUUUUGUCAGUGCACCUGAGCCAUGCUUUGCUCUUCUCCUGCCCUCUACUUGCACACUUUGAAGAGUACAGACAAGGGAGGACCCCAGAGGCCUUUCAUCCUGCUCUGUACCUCACUUAAACAACCCUUGUUUCUGAUUGUAUGUAGACACAACAGCAAUGGCAAUGACUUCAUAGCACCCCCCCCACCCCCCGCAAUGAAUAAAUCAUCCUAAUCUCAAGGCAAAGUUAGCACAACCAUCCACUGUGUCAUUUCCAUGAAUCACAGUGAUAAAGGGCCAUGCUUGUUGAGACAUUGCUUAUGCAAAUGCAAUACAGCACUAAUGAAUGUAAGCAAAGUCCUACAGUGCCAGGACAAGGCAAGCUUGUGCCAAAACUCCUAGGAAGCAGCUGUUGCUUUGUUCAAAGGAAUAAGUGAUGAGCUGGGGCAGAGAGGCUCUCAGGAGCCUGGGACUGCACUAUUCAGUUAUUUCAGAUCCAGGAUUAUGGUCCUUAUCGUUUAGGGACAUACUUUCCUGACAAAUAUUUCUGAUUUAUAAGCAGCGAAGCCUCUCUCUGAGUUCCUGGAAAUUGCGAUAGGGGAAGGGGGUAUUCUGAACCAGGGUGAUCCAGAGUUCAGUUCCUUUGCCAUGAGAUAGCAGUGUAAGGGGAACGCAGCGUAAGGUGCUGGAAAGCACCCACAGGGCUUUGGAUUUCCUUCAUUAUUCUCCAAGGAUUAAUGCAAUUUUAACACCUCACAGAGCAGGGCUUUGCUGUGGAAGUAUCUCUGAUUUCCAGCAGAUCUCACCGUUAUUGUCCUGUGCUGGUAAUUUGGUACCUUGAUGUUAUUGUUCGUAUUCUCUAGAAACCCAUAAAGGAGGUGGUGAGCCAAGCAAGGGUUCGUCCUGCGGUGCUGGAUGAUUUAUGGGCAAAGGGUAAGAAAAGGCCCUGCCACAAACAGCCAGAAGGGCCAGAUAGCUGCGUGAGAGAUAGGAGAGCAGAGGAAGGCGGAACGAUUUCCUCAAGGUCACACAAGUCACAGCACAAGGCCGGGAAUAGGCUCCAUGACUGACAGGGAAGCACAGUGCAUCGUCCUGCUGAUGCAGGAGUCUCUGAUAACCCUGACUAACACACCACAUGAAGAAAUUAUUUCAUGCUCUGGAAUUCUCUGGCACCAAGUAUCAGCCAAAAAAGGUCUAACACAAUGAAUGUAACUCAAUAUACGGCACCAAAGGUUUUCUGUUACCAAUAGGUGCCAAGCACAAUUGAUUUUCAUUUACAGUUUCUUCCUUUGUUAGAUGAUGUCAUGGAUUAUUUAUGUCUGAAAGCAUUAAAAGGUACAAAGCACUUGAUGAGUCAUUGGGAAAAACAGCCUGGUGCAAGAAGAAAGGACCAUAAAUUCCCUAGCCUCGGUGUCUCCAAGCAGUUGCAUUGCUCUCAUACAGUGAAUGCAAGGAGAGCAGCUCUCCCACCAUGCCCAAGUCAUGCAACCGAGCGGCUGGUACUUCCCUGCCUGGUAUUUGGGUUUCAAAGCUGACCAGUGCCACUCACGGCUCCACAAACCAGCCCCCGAACGCACCUCGGGCCGCUGCUGUUCCACUGUGCCCCAGUGGGCCAAGGCUGUGCUGGUCAGCCUGCCACUGAGCCGGGGACGGGCGUAAUUUUCUAAUUAAAACACUACUGGAGUGUUGGACCUACUAAGGUCUGCACAUGCUGGUACCCCAAAACAAAGUUCUGGAUUGCAUGAGGUAGAUGCAAUCCCCCUCUGCAGCCGCAAAACAAAGCCAAACCAUGUCUCAGGCGCACGGAUAAAGGGCUUUUGAAUGGAGAAGGAUGAAUCACAUGCCAUUUCACAAUUAGCACUUUAAUUCUGAACAUUAAUUAGGGCACUAGUGUUUGGAGAGUUUAGUUCUCAUCGACCCACUUACAUUGUUCAGAGGAGGCCUAAAGAGAUACUGGGGUCUGCAAAGAAACCCACAGGAAAAAUGACAAGUCGGUACCAGCUGCAGCCCAUGAGCUGGUGAUAUGGGAAAUGCUUCACAUAAAAAAAGACCUGCUUACUAGAGCAUGGGAAGAAGCAAUAUUCCAGUUACAAUACCAUGCCACUAAGGAAAUACAGGCACAGGGAUUCACGUGGUUUCACAUGCAAGGCACAGGGAUAGGCUACAGAUGGGAAUCGGCAGCCCGGCACUAUUACAGUUAUCUUAUUGAGCUCUAACAUCCUUUGAAAAGAACAUUAUUCUUGUGCAAGAGGAAAAAAUGUUACUUAUUUGGAGGUGUAAACACGGUAACUGAAGCCAAAAGCCUGUAAAGAGGCUUGGAUGUGAAUUCAUUAUGAAUACGCUCUGAUGAAAUGAGAUUUACUGGCUCUUCUUUACAUAAGGAAGUAGAAUGAAAUCUGGAAAUAAAAACAGAUGGAGAUCAGCACAUCCCAGCCAUAAUGCAAACAGGAGUACUACUAAGCACUAGCUACAGGUGAAGCAACAAAUGUAUUUAUCCUGAAGAAUUAGAGUAUGUGAAAACACCUGCUGCUUUCCAGGAAGAUAAAAGCCAAGAGAAGAUAAUUCCUCCCAGGCCACAAAACGAAGCGAAAUUACAUAGAAGUCAGCUAAAAAAUACACCUCCAUCAUGGCUACAGCAGAGUGAUCUUGAUCAUGUUUUGAGGACCACGUUGUAUAUCAGCCAGAAGAAAGCAAGGACAUCCCUGCAGCAGGAGCAUCCAAAGGAGGGUUUGGAAUACAGAUGGAAGGUGAAGUUUUGCAGGUUGAAUGGGAGAUUUAGGGAGCAAGGAGGACUUUACCAGGUCAUGCUUGCUACAGCCUUUCUAGCAUGUAAACGUGGACCUUCCUCUUUCAAGUGUCUCAUCUCAGCGUGGGGGAGGCAAUAUGUCUCGCUCCCUCCCCUCUCCCAGGCAAGAGCUCAAACCCUGAAAAUUUGCAUCAGAGACCACUGCUGGAAAACACACAACAGACUGGAGAAGGCAUGGGUGCCAUUUAUUUUCCUUUAUGUAGGGAAAAAAAAAAGCUGCUGUGGAGAACAGGGUCCUAUUACUCAGUACUCUGCAUGGUGUUUGACUUGAUUUAAGUGGCAGAAACCUUAAUUAGGGCUCUAAACAGGCUUCCUAAUAGUGCAGUUCAAACUACCGGGGAAGGAACAUUUGUCUGGUCAAAGCAAACAGAAUUUGAUUAGUUUCUGUGAGGGACCCAGGGAGUGAAACAGGAAUGUCAGAGAGGAGACACGAAGUCCAGCAGGACACAGCUGGAUUAUUCCUCUCAUACCCUUUACAUCUUUUAAAACAUCUGUCCGGACUGCAGCGAGCCUUGUAGCCUACAGAUGCAAGUGAUAAACUGCAAGUGAAGUCUGUGGAAGAAAUGGAAAUUGCAAGCUAGAUUCUCCCUGGGACCCAAGUCUGCACCAGAGCAAACCCUUCAGCUUAAAAGCAUUAUUUCAGACUCACGAAGCUGUAAAAGAACUGGGGAGAAGAUCUUAGAAGCAAAAUUAUCCUGGAUCAUCAUAGAAUAAUUUAGGUUGGAAAGACCUUUAAGAUCAUCAGGUCCAACCACUAACCCACGUCCCCAAGUCCCCACCUCCAGGGAUGGUGAUUCCUCCGCUACCCUGGGCAGCCUGUUCCAGUGCUUGACCACCCACGGUCAUCUACGGAGGCAAAAAACAUGCAACGUCAGAGCUGCCCGGUUCCAAACAUCUGUUUGGAAAGGCUUUUUGGACACAUGCAUUUUAUAUAUGGCCUUUAAAGCUUUAGCACUGACUAUGCACAAUAACACAUCCCAGAGCAUCUGUUGUUCCCCCAGCCCUGCAGCAAGCCAUGCGGGGAAGCAAGCAGAGGGAUAACACUGCCUGGCUGCACAGCUGGGAAGAGUAGCACAUGGGUAGCAGAAGGCCACCAACUGAUACGAAUCCAACUACGUGGCGUGGAGAUGAAGCUGACGUGAAAAACAGCUUUUAUGAAGAAAUUGUGUACUUGAACCAUCAUUUAUAGGUUGCCUUUGAUUUAUUUUGAUUGUGGCGGAUACCGGAGCGGUGCAUGGAGGAGCAGCAGCUGUGGGACAUGGAUGGGACAUGCAAGGGACACACGUGGACAAGUCAUUGGCUUGUCUGGGCAGGGGGUGUUCCCUGAGCAGCUGACCCCAGAGCUGCUGAUGGGCUGAGGCAGCGAGGGGCAGAGCCUGCAUGGCAGCGUGGGAGGUUUAAGCAGCUGAAAACCAUCAGCCCAGCUGGUGGCAAUGGACCAGCCCCUGUACCUCCCAGCAGGCAGCAUGGUACCACCCUUCCAAAAGCAGUGUCCUCUGCUGCUCCUGAGCUCCUCGCACCCGGUACGGCCGGCGCAGCUCCAGGCAGAGCUCCUGCUCGAGCGUGUGGCCGCCCAGGAUUCCGGCUGCGGGAUGCGCGGAGGCAUAUUGAUAUCUGGCUCCGGGACUGGUGCCUGCACCAGAACUUUGGGGCUUUAAAGCAUGGAAGAGCCUUAGAGGCGCAAGGUAUGCCGGGGCCUGGUGGGAUGGGGAGAGCAUGUCUUUGGGUGUAAGCUGGCGGGACUGAUUGAGAAAGCUUUAAUUACUAAUCAGUGUGGGAAGGGGACGCCAGCAGGACUGCAGUAGGUAAGCCAGGGGUUGGUGUGGCGUUGCCCGAGGCUGGUGGUGAUAGUGGGGAUGUUUAUGCUGCUCCUGGGAGCAUGGGGGGCUCAGGGGUGUCUCUGAAAUGCUUGUAUGCCAGCGCAUGCAGUAUGAGAGAAAAACAGGAUGAACUGGAAGCACUGGUCAGCUCCCAGAGCUUAGGGUGUUGUUGGUAUUAGUGGUAUUGCUGGAAGGAGUCCCACGACUGGAGUGGUGGGAUGGAGGGCUCCAGGCUGUCCAGGAGGGAUGGGGAGGCAGAGCUGUAAUGCCAGGCACCAGUAUAAACUGGGAGAGGGUCGGCUGGCCAGCAGCCCUGCGGGAAGGGCUCUGGGGGUGCUGGCUGGCAGCAGCUCAGCAGCAGCCAGCAGUGAGCCCUGGCAGCCGGGAGCACAAACCGCAGCCUGGGGUGCGGCGAGCCCAGCACCACCAGCCCGGCAGCGAGGGGCUGAUCCUGCCGCCUCCCGCGCUGUGCAGCCUCACCCGGAGCACCGGGUGCAGGGCUGGGCCCCACCGCUUCACAGGGACGUGCGGGUCCACGAGCGCUUCCAGAGGAGGGCACCAGGGCUGGGGCAGGGCUGGAAGGCACGUCCUGGGGAGCGGCUGCGCUUUGGGCUUGUCCGGUUUGGAGAAGAGGAGGCUGAGGGGUGACCUGGUCACCCUCUGCACCCUCCUGGGGGGGGACGUGGAGAGGCGGGCGCUGAGCUCCUGUCCCCAGGGUCCCGUGCCAGGACACGCGGGAGCGGCCCAGAGCUGCACCAGGGAGGUGCAGGCUGGAUGUAGGGAGCAUUUCUUCAUGGAGGGUGGUCAGACACUGCAGCAGGAUCCUGGGGAGGCGAGCGAUGCCCUGGGCCGGUCCGCGCUCACGAGGCACUUGGGCAGUGCCCUUAAUAACGUGCUUGGAGCUUUGGGUUAAGUAGCUGGACUAGAUGAUGGUUGUACAUCCCCUGCAGCAGAACUGUUCUAGUCUGGGUUUAUUUCUUUGGGUGAAGGCACUGCAGCCCUGACAGAGGAAAUCUUAUUGAAACAAGCACUUGUCACAUGGGGGUGACAGCUGGGGGGAAUGCAGGUUAAAUUGGUGGUCUUCUCUGGUAGAAGUAGUGGCAACUCUUGCCUCUGUGGCUUGUGUAAGCUAGAGGCCUCUUCAUAAAUGCGCAGCUCCGCAUCUUUCUCAGUCUUAAAAUAAAGAUUUGCACUUGGUGGUUCAGUUCUUUCUCUCUUUCCCAAAGUUUUUUGUAUGAUCUUGGUCUGGAAAGGGAAAAAUGAACAAAAUGGUGUAUCUGAUUUUCUGUCUCCAAGCACCUAGAUACCAAUGCAAACAGGGCUGUUUAUUUUACAAGUGCCUGUACACAUAAUAUUAAAAUCAAAUAUUGGUUUUGCAGUAGAGACUCAUCAUGGGAUAGUUUUGGGGUUUUUUUUACUUGAUAAAUAGCUGGGUUUGUGUGGGGAUUCGUAUCAGGCUCCAUACAAACAAAACUGAAGUAAAUAUUUGCCCAUCUGUGGUGGGAUGACCCUGGCUGGACCCUAGGUGCCCACCAAGGCUGCUCCAUCACUCUCCUCCUCAGCCGGGCACGGGGGAGGAAAUAUAAUGAAGAUCUCAUGGGUCGAGAUCAGGACAGGGAGGUCACUCCUUAAUUACUGUCACAGGCAAAACAGACUCGACUUGGGGAAAUUAGUUUAAUUUAUCCUACUCUGAUUUGAAUGAUAAUAAUGAGAACUAUAAAUCAAAACUUAAAAAUGCCUUCCCCCUAAUCCCUCCCUUCUUGCUGGGCUCAACUUCACACCCCAUUUCUCUCCUUUCUACCCUGGCGCAGCACGGAGGACUGGGAUGGGGCACGAUCAAUCCAUCACACUCUGCCUCUGCUGCUCCUUCAUCCUCACACUCUGCCCCUGUCCCCGAGCGGGGUCCCUCCCACAAGAGACAGCUCUCCAUGAACCUCUCCAUCGCGAGCCCUUCCCACGGGCUGCAGCUCUUCACGCACCAGCCCUGGGGGGUCCCUCCCAGGAGGUGCAGAGCCCCAGGCACAGCUGGUCCCAGGGGUCCCCCUGGGGGCACAAGUCCUGCCAGGGGCUGCCCAGGGGUCACAGCCCCUUUGGGCAUCCCCCUUCCCCAGUGUGGGGUUCUGCCUGGGCUGCAGGAGGGGGGAUCUUCUCCCCCGUGGGCUCCAUGGGCUGGGGGCACAGCCUGCCUCGCCAGGGUCUUCAUCACGGGCUGCUGGGGCACCUCUGCUCCGUGCCUGGAGCCCCCCCACCUCCUCCUGCCCUGACCUGGGGGGCUGCUUUGGUGCAGUGUCUCUCUUCUCUUCUGCUGUAACUUGCUGCACAGGUUUUUUGCCCCCUUCUUAAAUCAAUCAUCCCAGCAGUUCUCCCACCAUCGCCGAUGGGCUCAGCCUUGGCUGGUGGUGGGUCUGUCUGGGAGCCGGCUGGCGUGGGCUCCAUCGGGCAUGGGGGGAGCUUCUGGCACCUUCUCACAGCAGCUCCCCCCCAUAGCCCCCCUGCUACCAAACCUUGCCAGGCAAACCCGACAUGCCAGCUCAGCUGGGGUUUUGCCUGCGUCUGCAGUGCCUCUUGAAAUGGGAGGAAUUGGGCAACCUGUUGUGGUCUUCUCCUUGGAAGUUCGUAUCCAUGGGAGCACAUGGAUAGCCGCAGUCUGGGACAAGCAGCACAGCGAAUUCCUGCGCUCACCAAUGAACAACCAAGGAACAAAAACGGGAAAUGGGCAAAACUGAAAUCACCAACUCAGCUGCCUAGAAUGGUGUGUUUCCAAAAUGCUCCAGUUCCUCUCUGAGCCAGGGAAAAGAUGCUUUUGCUUUUCUCCUACUAUUGUUUCUUUUUUAAACCGGAAAGAAUAUGCGAGUACCUUGGAGACUUUUCACUCUUCCUGACACUGAGUGACAUACGCUUUUUUGAGUUCUUUGUACAAAAAUUAGCAGCAAAAGGGUUUGGUAAUUGUCUUAAAAUACCAAUUUACUAAAAGGCAUGGACCUUCAUGUCAAUAAAAAAAAAUGGAGCUUAAGAGCCAUUUGGCCUUUCUUUAAGGGUCACUGUAUUCCUUGUUCUAAAUGAAAAACCCAAGUCCCUAGAGGAACCUUAGGUCUGCAAAGAAAUGGGCUGGGAUUUAACUAUGGGAGGUUGCAAACAGAAUCUGUUGCUGCCCUAAAACUGAAUUUUUGCUUCUUGAUUCCUAAAGAUUACAUCCAUUAGGCUUUCUCCUCCCACUCUGCAUCUAUUUUUCUAUACUCGGAUAUAUAAAUACAGUUACUAUUUUAACUGCCUUUUCAAUACAAAUGUUGCCAAUUAGCCAAUGUUUUGCCCGAUGCCUGGAAAACAUAAAAUCAAAAUAUUCAUCCAAAUCCACAUAUGGCCAGAUCCUCAGUUGGUGUCAAUGCUUGCAGCUCUGCUAAUUUUUUUGGAGCUGGGCCACUUUAUGCCUGCUAAGGAUAUAGCUCAGUAGAAUCCAACUGACUGACUCUCCUUGGCUUCUCCAAGAUCUAGAUCUGGACCAUUGUUAUUACAAAUGCUUUAAAAAAUCUGGAGUAUGUUAAGUGUUGGGAUUGCUACUCUGGUAAACAAUCAUGUGUUGGAAUAUUUUUCUACUACCUCAGACCCCAUGAAGCAGAAAAUGGAAAGCCUGUACUCUCUCCUCCUGUUUAUAUUGGGACCAAUAAUGCUAAUUUUCAAAUGUAAUUUAACAUAUGUCUGAAAGUUGCCUGACUGCCCCAGCCAAAAAUUGCAAUUGGCAGCUCCAUUUCCUGGCAUGGCUGAAUUCAGAGCGGACCAUCUCUGCAGAUCAAAAUAUAAAGCAGCAUCACUGGUGAGGCCUGGAAUACAAGUUGUUCCCAGACACAUGCCCAAGACAUUGAUGUUUAAUGACAGCAUCGUUCAGGGCAGUGUGAAAGGAGGAAAUUCUGCCGCAUACUCGGUAGGAAAUGAGAAAUCACCCUCAAGUGUGUGACAUUGCAGGGCUGAAUAAAAAUGGGAGUUUAACAGAAGAUUAAAUCUGCAGAAGCUAAGAUUUAAAUCCAUCAAACUUUACAACACCUGGUCAAUUCAGAUGCUGUGUAUCUUUCCUUUAAAAGAAUACUCUCAAGGCACCAUGAUUUGGAUAGAGGUUGUUACUGGACCAUGAGGUGGAAGUAUUCCUGCCUGGCUUCAAGCAUAGGUUUUGCAAUUGUAGGAAUAAAUGGAGUUGAACACUAGCUGAACUCACCAAAGGGCAUUUUAAAACCAAGAAAGGAGUGAAAAUGAAACAUUAAACAAACAGAAGGACGAAUAGUGAUAAUGCCAAUGAAGCAGGAACAGC